RNAcentral lists this ribosomal RNA (468 nucleotides) under uncultured bacterium. RNAcentral describes it as "partial 16S ribosomal RNA". It matches the Rfam family "Bacterial small subunit ribosomal RNA", at positions 28 to 507 of the family's 1533-position model. The record is from RNAcentral.
GACGAACGCUGGCGGCGUGCUUAACACAUGCAAGUCGAACGGAAAGGCCCUGCUUUUGUGGGGUGCUCGAGUGGCGAACGGGUGAGUAACACGUGAGUAACCUGCCCUUGACUUUGGGAUAACUUCAGGAAACUGGGGCUAAUACCGGAUAGGAGCUCCUGCUGCAUGGUGGGGGUUGGAAAGUUUCGGCGGUUGGGGAUGGACUCGAGGCUUAUCAGCUUGUUGGUGGGGUAGUGGCUUACCAAGGCUUUGACGGGUAGCCGGCCUGAGAGGGUGACCGGCCACAUUGGGACUGAGAUACGGACCAGACUCCUACGGGAGGCAGCAGUGGGGAAUAUUGCACAAUGGGCGGAAGCCUGAUGCAGCAACGCCGCGUGCGGGAUGACGGCCUUCGGGUUGUAAACCGCUUUCGCCUGUGACGAAGCGUGAGUGACGGUAAUGGGUAAAGAAGCACCGGCUAACUACGUG